CCUACGGGUGGCAGCAGUGAGGAAUAUUGGUCAAUGGACGAGAGUCUGAACCAGCCAAGUAGCGUGAAGGAUGACUGCCCUAUGGGUUGUAAACUUCUUUUAUAUGGGAAUAAAACGUUCCACGUGUGGGAUUUUGUAUGUACCAUAUGAAUAAGGAUCGGCUAACUCCGUGCCAGCAGCCGCGGUAAUACGGAGGAUCCGAGCGUUCUCCGGAUUUAUUGGGUUUAAAGGGAGCGUAGGUGGAUUGUUAAGUCAGUUGUGAAAGUUUGCGGCUCAACCGUAAAAUUGCAGUUGAAACUGGCAGUCUUGAGUAUAGUAGAGGUGGGCGGAAUUCGUGGUGUAGCGGUGAAAUGCUUAGAUAUCACGCAGAACUCCGAUUGCGAAGGCAGUUCACUGGACUGCAACUGACACUGAGGCUCGAAAGUGUGGGUAUCAAACAGGAUUAGAUACCCCGGUAGUC
Molecule: ribosomal RNA, 460 nt
Filed under: uncultured bacterium
Lineage: Bacteria
Description: partial 16S ribosomal RNA
Rfam family: Bacterial small subunit ribosomal RNA
Source: RNAcentral